CCGUUUCUUAUUUCUCUUCGUCCUCGAAACGAACGUCCGCGUUGUUUGGGCCUCCUGUCUCGUCGCGUGUCUCCUCUCGAAUCCUUUCCCGCUCCUCGACCACCCUCGAUGUCUUCUCCCCUUUUAACCGCCUAUCGUCACCUUCGAGUCGCUCCACUACCAACCAACCGAUUGUCUCGCCGUUAAGCGGCAAUUUAUAUGUUAACAGGGUCGAAUCGGUCGAGAGUCAUGCAUACGUUUAAGAAAACGGGGUUGCACGCCGAGGAGGAGGCUCGAGGGGGACCGAGCACGAUCGCGUGACGAUGUUUCACCGACACUUUGCUCGUUAGUCGAGCCAACGAUCGAGCCGUUUCGACGAUACGGAUCUGCCCCUACGGAUCAGGUCCAACCACCCUCGUCGCUUAUCGGUUACAUGUAAAUUCCUGCCAACUCGUGUACAAACAGCUUCGGAGGCUGCCUAUCGAGAUGCGGUCGGAUCAAGUUAUAUCACGAACUAAAGCGAUCGCAAAGAUACUUUCAACAAUUUUCAGCAGCGUGAAGUCAACAAAAUUGAUCAAAUUCGAAUGAAUUUCUACGCUUUGAUCCUAUAGCAGUCAGGUAUUGUUUCGUACGAGCGCAAUAAAAUAAACGAGCUUUCAUAAUCAUACCGCGCCUUUCGUCCACGAAACAUUAAAAAUUAAACGUUAUUGUUUGGUUACGCGGAAGA
Megachile rotundata (alfalfa leafcutting bee) is the source of this 706-nucleotide long non-coding RNA. RefSeq lists it as uncharacterized. NCBI's taxonomy places the organism in Eukaryota, Metazoa, Arthropoda, Insecta, Hymenoptera, Megachilidae. The record is from RefSeq and is a predicted model, not a curated record.